This 433-nucleotide ribosomal RNA is filed under the name uncultured bacterium. RNAcentral describes it as "partial 16S ribosomal RNA". It matches the Rfam family "Bacterial small subunit ribosomal RNA", at positions 29 to 507 of the family's 1533-position model. The record is from RNAcentral.
AGCGAACGCUGGCGGCAGGCCUAACACAUGCAAGUCGAACGAACUCUUCGGAGUUAGUGGCGGACGGGUGAGUAACACGUGGGAACGUGCCUUUAGGUUCGGAAUAACUCAGGGAAACUUGUGCUAAUACCGAAUGUGCCCUUCGGGGGAAAGAUUUAUCGCCUUUAGAGCGGCCCGCGUCUGAUUAGCUAGUUGGUGAGGUAAAGGCUCACCAAGGCGACGAUUAGUAGCUGGUCUGAGAGGAUGAUCAGCCACAUUGGGACUGAGACACGGCCCAAACUCCUACGGGAGGCAGCAGUGGGGAAUCUUGCGCAAUGGGCGAAAGCCUGACGCAGCCAUGCCGCGUGAAUGAUGAAGGUCUUAGGAUUGUAAAAUUCUUUCACCGGGGACGAUAAUGACGGUACCCGGAGAAGAAGCCCCGGCUAACUUCGUG